Cicer arietinum (chickpea) is the source of this 2856-nucleotide non-coding RNA. Lineage: Eukaryota; Viridiplantae; Streptophyta; Magnoliopsida; Fabales; Fabaceae. The record is from RefSeq and is a predicted model, not a curated record.
AGAAGUUCUGCUGGGUUUUGUUUACCCUCCCUGUCACCCUCACCCUCGCCGCUCACGGUUUCGCCACUCACGUUUUCGCCACCUUACACUUUCGCCGUUUUCAAGGCUCACUGUCGUCUCUCAGCCUCACUCUGACUCUCCUUUUCAACCCGUUUUUACCCACCCACUCACAACCGUCACCCAAUGGCCUGAAAUAAAAAACAGAUGAGAUUGGGCUAAUAGUUACCACCCGUGGAUUGAAUCGGUUUUGUGUUUUGGCCCGAAUCCGACCGUACCCGACCCGAUGUCCAACCCUGCUUGCUAGUUGCUACUACGGGUGGAGUGCUGAUUCAGUCCUCAUUUGUUUUUUUUGUUUGUUUUGGUAGCCAUUCUUUAUUCUUCAUAAAGCUUCACCUCGGGGAAAAGAUAGAACAUCAGAAGGGAAGGGAAAAUGUCGCAAGAGAAAUGAACUUUCUCCUUCUCGGAGUGCAAAGAAACUGAAAUUAAGCCCAACUGAAGAUUGUGAUGGCCAUUUGGAUCAGAAACUGCAGAUUGAAACUUUUGAGAUUGUUUGGACAAAGAUUGAAUCAACCAUUAAGGAUGUCUUGAAGAGCUCGGUCUUUCUCUAAUUUGAUUAUUAUUCUAGCAAUGCAAUCCCUCAAGUCACGCUCUCUCCUUUUUUAUUCUCCUUUCAAUUACUCACUUCAUCCCUUUCUCUUUUCAUUUUCUACUGCUUCUUUAUCAACCCCAAAUCAAACCACUAUUCUCCACGAUUUCCUCAAUUCCAAUUUCAAUUUCCCCAAAUCUCAAUCCCUUUAUAUCUCUAAACGCAUUUCAUCUCACACCCUCCCUCUAAAGCCCUUAUCCGUCCUCAACUUUUUCAAACAAAUUGGAUUCUCCGAAUCUCAGAUUCACUCUAUUAUUCGUCAGAGAGCUCAAAUACUCUUCUCAGAUGUUGAUAAAACUCUAAAACCUAAAAUUCACCUCUUUCAACAAUUGGGUUUCCAAUGUUCGGAUUUAUGCGAUUUCAUUUCCAAAAAUCCCACCAUUUUGACUGCUAGUUUGAACAAAACAUUGGUACCCUCCGUCGAAGCCAUUCGAAAAAUUGUUUGCAACGAAAAAGAUCUUAUUCAUGUUUUGUGCAAAUGUGGUUGGAUACUCCCAAAGUACCAACUUUUUGUCGCCAACGCCGCUUUCCUAGAGAGAUGGGGAAUUUUUGGUGAUCAGCUUUUGAUUCUACUCAAACGACAGUCGAGACUUUUGACUGCCACACAAUCUUCUAUUAGGAACUAUGUUUUGCAAGCUGUAGACUUGGGUUUCGAAGAAAAUUCAAGAAUGUUGGUUCACGGGCUUCAUACCUUAGCUUGUUUGAGUUCUAAAACAUUUAGGAGGAAGAUGGAUUUCAUUCAGGGUUUUGGGUUUUCUAAAGAUGAGUGUUUGCAAAUGUUUAAAAAGACUCCAACUUUGCUUAGGACAUCGGAGAAGAAAUUAAAGGUUGGAAUGGAAUUCUUCUUGCAGACAGUAAUGCUGCCAAAGUCAGCGUUGGUUCAACGGCCUGUGAUUUUGAUGUAUAGCAUUGAGGAUCGAGUGUUUCCUCGGUAUAGAGUUUUUCAGCUUUUGAAAGCACAAAAUCUAUGUAGGAAGGUUCCAAGCUUUAUUCAUGUGUUAUGUUUGUCUGAAGACAUGUUCUUGGACAAGUAUAUAUCAAGGUUUAAAGAAAAUGCGGAGCCAUUGUUGAUAGCGUACAAGGGGGAGCACUAUCAAGAAGCAUAAUAACGAUCCCUUGGUGAUGUUGUAUUUUGCACACUUAUUUACAGGAAGCAUUGAGCAAUUUUGGGGAUCACAGCUUUGUUGGUACUUAUGCUGCAGAUAUGAGUCCAUUAAUUGUCAACUUGAGCAAUGACUUCCAAAUUGAAAAUCUUGAAAUUCUGCAAAAUGAAAAUGUUGAAGCGGGAAAUAUAGUUGGGGUUGCAAGGUCAAUUGUCAGGCUCCUCCUUUGUGGAUCCAUAAAAAUGUUCAGUUGCAGAUUUGAAUACCGAAGAUCUGUGUAUUGUGCAUGAUGAUGGCGUUUCUGGUUUGUCAAGUGAUGAGGUAAAAUCAGAAAGAGACAUGGUUGAAAUUAUGGAGUCAACUGAUGACAUUGUAGGCGAAAAAUGCGAAGGAGCUUCUGAAAUAGUAGUUAGUAAUUCAGUUUUCUUGGAUCAUGAAGUUGGUGAUGGAGAUGGUAAUCCGGAGGAAAGAAGGGAUCCGAGCUCCUUACUUUGCCGUCCCAAAACGAAUUUCCUCUAGAAGUAAACUCGUCUAUAAUCUCAAACGAGGCUCAGGAAGAAUCUGCACAUGAGGUACAGUUCACGACUUGUAGAGAUGUCGAGGUUUUGCAGGAAAAGGAAGACAUGAAUGUUAUUGAUCCACUUCAUGUGCAUGAUGAUACACUUGAUGUUGCCAAGGUAACAAACUGGAGUGGAACUCACCAGCAAUAUCCUGCAAACAUCAAGAGAGAAAAAGGAAGUUGAAAAGUAGACCAUUUUGGAUACAAUUGGUUUGUUGCUCAACAGUGGAUCCUCAGAGAAGGUAGAAGAAGAAUUGAAGGUUGUUCUUUACUAUUGACAUGCUAGUAUUUGCUCUCUAUUGUUUUUUAGUUUAUCUGUCAUAGAUUUUAGGUGCAUAUUUUAACGUUUCCCAUAUUAUUCUUGCCAAGCUUUCUAGGAGUUUACUAUGUAUAUGUUGGCCAUCUUCAGUUUUUAUUUUUAUCAAGUGGGAUCUUAAUUUGGUCUUAAUUUGUGUAAUGUGUCGUCUUAAUUUGGUCUAUACACUUUGGAAUUUGGUUGACAAGAAGUAGGGUCUAAACAUGAACUACUAAUGUUGUGUAUGGUUUCA